This 382-nucleotide ribosomal RNA is filed under the name uncultured eukaryote. RNAcentral's name for it is "partial 18S ribosomal RNA". It matches the Rfam family "Eukaryotic small subunit ribosomal RNA", at positions 592 to 976 of the family's 1831-position model. The record is from RNAcentral.
UGUAAGCGUAUACCAAAGUUGUUGCAGUUAAAACGCUCGUAGUCGGAAUUUGGCAGUUCCGGAUGUGUGCACGUCGUGUGCGCACUUCGCGGGGAUUGCUUUUGUGGUCUUGCGUAGGAUGAGGCACUUUUAUUAGUGAACGUCCUCACGCAACCACUUUUUACUGUGAGAAAAUCAGAGUGCUCAAAGCAGGCAUUUGCCGUGAAUGUAUUAGCAUGGAAUAAUAGAAUAGGACUUGGUUCUAUUUUGUUGGUUUGUUGGGACUGAGUAAUGUUUAAGAGGGACAGUUGGGGGCAUUUGUAUUUCGGUGCUAGAGGUGAAAUUCUUAGAUUACCGAAAGACAAACUGCUGCGAAAGCGUCUGCCAAGGAUGUUUUCAUUGA